GACGAACGCUGGCGGCGUGCCUAAUACAUGCAAGUCGAACGCUUCUUUCCUCCCGAGUGCUUGCCCUCCAUUGGAAAGAGGAGUGGCGGACGGGUGAGUAACACGUGGGUAACCUACCCAUCAGAGGGGGAUAACACUUGGAAACAGGUGCUAAUACCGCAUAACAGUUUAUGCCGCAUGGCAUAAGAGUGAAAGGCGCUUUCGGGUGUCGCUGAUGGAUGGACCCGCGGUGCAUUAGCUAGUUGGUGAGGUAACGGCUCACCAAGGCCACGAUGCAUAGCCGACCUGAGAGGGUGAUCGGCCACACUGGGACUGAGACACGGCCCAGACUCCUACGGGAGGCAGCAGUAGGGAAUCUUCGGCAAUGGACGAAAGUCUGACCGAGCAACGCCGCGUGAGUGAAGAAGGUUUUCGGAUCGUAAAACUCUGUUGUUAGAGAAGAACAAGGACGUUAGUAACUGAACGUCCCCUGACGGUAUCUAACCAGAAAGCCACGGCUAACUACGUG
Molecule: ribosomal RNA, 508 nt
Filed under: uncultured bacterium
Lineage: Bacteria
Description: partial 16S ribosomal RNA
Rfam family: Bacterial small subunit ribosomal RNA
Source: RNAcentral